UACUGCAGUCGAGCGAACUGAUUAGAAGCUUGCUUCUAUGACGUUAGCGGCGGACGGGUGAGUAACACGUGGGCAACCUGCCUGUAAGACUGGGAUAACUUCGGGAAACCGAAGCUAAUACCGGAUAGGAUCUUCUCCUUCAUGGGAGAUGAUUGAAAGAUGGUUUCGGCUAUCACUUACAGAUGGGCCCGCGGUGCAUUAGCUAGUUGGUGAGGUAACGGCUCACCAAGGCAACGAUGCAUAGCCGACCUGAGAGGGUGAUCGGCCACACUGGGACUGAGACACGGCCCAGACUCCUACGGGAGGCAGCAGUAGGGAAUCUUCCGCAAUGGACGAAAGUCUGACGGAGCAACGCCGCGUGAGUGAUGAAGGCUUUCGGGUCGUAAAACUCUGUUGUUAGGGAAGAACAAGUACAAGAGUAACUGCUUGUACCUUGACGGUACCUAACCAGAAAGCCACGGCUAACUACGUGCCAGCAGCCGCGGUAAUACGUAGGUGGCAAGCGUUAUCCGGAAUUAUUGGGCGUAAAGCGCGCGCAGGCGGUUUCUUAAGUCUGAUGUGAAAGCCCACGGCUCAACCGUGGAGGGUCAUUGGAAACUGGGGAACUUGAGUGCAGAAGAGAAAAGCGGAAUUCCACGUGUAGCGGUGAAAUGCGUAGAGAUGUGGAGGAACACCAGUGGCGAAGGCGGCUUUUUGGUCUGUAACUGACGCUGAGGCGCGAAAGCGUGGGGAGCAAACAGGAUUAGAUACCCUGGUAGUCCACGCCGUAAACGAUGAGUGCUAAGUGUUAGAGGGUUUCCGCCCUUUAGUGCUGCAGCUAACGCAUUAAGCACUCCGCCUGGGGAGUACGGUCGCAAGACUGAACUCAAGGAAUUGACGGGGGCCCGCACAAGCGGUGGAGCAUGGUGGUUUAAUUCGAAGCAACGCGAAGAACCUUACCAGUCUUGACAUCCUCUGACACUCUAGAGAUAGAGCGUUCCCC
Molecule: ribosomal RNA, 982 nt
Filed under: Priestia aryabhattai
Lineage: Bacteria; Bacillati; Bacillota; Bacilli; Caryophanales; Bacillaceae
Description: bacterial SSU rRNA
Rfam family: Bacterial small subunit ribosomal RNA
Source: RNAcentral